GAUGAACGCUGGCGGCGUGCCUAAUACAUGCAAGUCGAGCGAACGGACGAGAAGCUUGCUUCUCUGAUGUUAGCGGCGGACGGGUGAGUAACACGUGGAUAACCUACCUAUAAGGCUGGGAUAACUUCGGGAAACCGGAGCUAAUACCGGAUAAUAUUUUGAACCGCAUGGUUCAAAAGUGAAGGACGGUCUUGCUGUCACUUAUAGAUGGAUCCGCGCUGCAUUAGCUAGUUGGUAAGGUAACGGCUUACCAAGGCAACGAUGCAUAGCCGACCUGAGAGGGUGAUCGGCCACACUGGAACUGAGACACGGUCCAGACUCCUACGGGAGGCAGCAGUAGGGAAUCUUCCGCAAAGGGCGAAAGCCUGACGGAGCAACGCCGCGUGAGUGAUGAAGGUCUUCGGAUCGUAAAACUCUGUUAUUAGGGAAGAACAUAUGUGUAAGUAACUGUGCACAUCUUGACGGUACCUAAUCAGAAAGCCACGGCUAACUACGUG
This 497-nucleotide ribosomal RNA is filed under the name uncultured bacterium. RNAcentral's name for it is "partial 16S ribosomal RNA". It matches the Rfam family "Bacterial small subunit ribosomal RNA", at positions 28 to 507 of the family's 1533-position model. The record is from RNAcentral.